Long non-coding RNA from Halichondria panicea, 502 nucleotides. RefSeq lists it as uncharacterized. Lineage: Eukaryota; Metazoa; Porifera; Demospongiae; Suberitida; Halichondriidae. The record is from RefSeq and is a predicted model, not a curated record. The transcript has 2 exons.
AGACUUUAGUAGCCACCUACAUUGUUUGAUUUCUGUGCCCAGGCUGAUAGCAAGAGUGAGAGGUCCUCCAGGAGCCAGAGACACACAGAAGACGCUAGGAGAUCGGCUCCAAAAGUCAAGUUCUCUAAAACUAUUACCGAGUUUCCAUACUACAGUCGCUAUGACAACCCGACAGAGAUGAAAUCAGCAUCAAUCCCAGGUCAAAGUCCGUCCCAUAGUCACCUUGGCAAGUUGGAUGGGGACUCGCUGAGGGUCAAAGGUGAAAGCUCGGAACACAUCAGAAAAAAAUUAAUUAUUAUUAGCAUACAAACUGUUCAUUAUUUUUAUUGCUUAUACUCAAGAUUUGUAUGUUACUAAUGAUAGUAUCAUUUGCCAUAUGCACAGUGUGUAAUGUAGGCCCUGAUAAAUUAUGCUCGGAAUAAUUUUUAGCAUAAUUAGAAGAUAAAUAUCCUCAAUGUCCAUUUUUGGUAAAGAUCAUUACAUUAAAUUUUGCAUAACGACA